Molecule: ribosomal RNA, 483 nt
Filed under: uncultured bacterium
Lineage: Bacteria
Description: bacterial SSU rRNA
Rfam family: Bacterial small subunit ribosomal RNA
Source: RNAcentral
CGUGCCGUAGCUAAAGCGUUAAGUGUUCCGCCUGGGAAGUACGGCCGCAAGGUUGAAACUUCAAAGGAAUUGACGGGGGCCCGCACAAGCGGUGGAGCAUGUGGUUAAUUCGACGCAACGCGAAAAACCUUACCUGGGUUUGACAUGCCGAGGACCCCGAUGAAAGUCGGGGGUGCCCCGUAAGGGGAACCCGGAGACAGGUGCUGACAAGGCUGUCGUCAGCUCGUGUCGUGAGAUGUUGGGUUAAGUCCCGCAACGAGCGCAACCCUUGUCUUUAAUUGCCAUCAUUCAGUUGGGCACUUUAAAGAGACUGCCGGCGUUAAACCGGAGGAAGGUGGGGAUGACGUCAAGUCCUCAUGGCCUUUAUGCCCAGGGCUACACACGUGCUACAAUGGGUGGUACAAAGAGCAGCCAACUCGCGAGAGUGAGCAAAUCUCAAAAAGCCAUCCUCAGUUCGGAUUGGAGUCUGCAACUCGACUCCAU